UUCCGGUUGCUCUUUGCCAGACGGUGGGU
RNAcentral lists this small RNA (29 nucleotides) under Bombyx mori (domestic silkworm). Its description in RNAcentral is "ovarian small RNA-37240". Lineage: Eukaryota; Metazoa; Arthropoda; Insecta; Lepidoptera; Bombycidae. The record is from RNAcentral.